Long non-coding RNA from Equus caballus (horse), 1647 nucleotides. NCBI's taxonomy places the organism in Eukaryota, Metazoa, Chordata, Mammalia, Perissodactyla, Equidae. The record is from Ensembl.
CCAAAACAGGCAGGAUCCCCAGUGGUCUCAGUAUCUGGAUCAAUAAGUGACAUGGUGUUUUGACUCCUUGGUCUAGAUUCUAAUCAGUCCGCAGUUAUUCAGGAGCUCAGUGCAGUCAAGUUCAUGUCCGACUUGCCCCCUCCCCAUUCCUGGGCCCUACCCUGGCUGCAUGGAAUGAAUGAGUGAGCAAAUGAAUGAAUGAGUGACCAGCAGCCAAACUUGGGUCACUCUCUCCUGUGACAGAAUCUAAAUGUCAGUCCGGUUCUGCUCACAGGGGAACGGGCCAGCUGACACAGCCCAGGCCAGCAGGCAGGAGAAGCCCACGUUGAGCCCAUUUUUUCCAGGAACAAUCAUUAUUGAUCUUCACUUACAGAUGCAGCACAGGUAUCUCUGUGCCAACUCUGCACCAGUGACAACUAACCCCCAAAACUCACUCUCACAAAACCAGAGCCAGUAGUUCUUGGAGACACAAGCACGCACUUUAAUUAGUAGUUUAAAAGCAUUUGUCUUGUGAAAUAUAAUAAAUCCACAGGAAAAUCUGUAAAAUAUACAUGUAACAGUUUAAUGGCAUUUAAAUGAGCAUGUGUAUACCUGCCCUGAGUCAAGAGACAGAACGUGGCCGGACUCGAGGUCGCAGCAUCGUCUCCCUCCUGACAAAGGCUCUGCUGACCUCACUUGAAACCACUUCCUCGUGUUUAUUUCUACUCCCAUCACCCAGGCACAAACCCCUAAGCGUUUUAGUUUGGCUUUGCCUGUUUUUGAACUUUGUAUAAAUGGAACCAUAGGGCAUGAUUGCUCUGUGGCUGCUUUCAUUCCACUUGAUGUCUGUGAAAUUCGUCCCUGUUGUUGUUGUGUCUGUAGUGCAUUCACUUUCAUUGCUAGAUACUAAGCCAUUGUGUGAAUAUGCUACAACCUAUUUAUCCAUUUUCCUGAGAGCGAGGAUUUGCUUCUUUCCAGUUCGGGAUAUUAUGGACAAAGCUAGUGUGAACUUUCCCAUGUGUGUCCUGGGCAUGCACACAGAGUGCACGUGGACAGCUGAGCAGAAGCUCAUUGGACAGAAGCAGAAGGGACGAGAAUACAUGUCUCAGAUCGGGGCCAGCUCAGCCCCAGCUGCCGUCUCGGGGGGCAGGCUUUGGCCGGUGGGUGUCUGUUGCAGCUGCGAACCGGGGAGACUGUAUUUGGUCUCAGAGGGUGAGGCACUGCCUUUUGAUGGGCCAUCCCCACUUGGAGGGGCCUGAUGAUCAGAGCUGGCCUUCUACAGUAUAACAGCUGACCUUUAAAUAACUGCAGUGGUCACUUUUAUGUGGCAACUUGGCUGGGCCACAGGGUGCCCUGAUAUUUGGCUAAACAUUGUUUCUGGGUGGGUCUGUGAGGGUGUUUGCAGAUGAGACGAGCGUUUGAAUCGGUGGACUCAGUAAAGCAGAGGCCCUCCCCAACGUGGUUGGGCCUCAUCCAAUCCGCUGGGGGCCUGAGCAGAACAAAAGGUGGAGGAAGGGAGCAUUCUGGGACAUCAGGCUGCGGCACCAGGACUGGGACUGACACGGCCGCCUCCUCUGGGUCUCCACCUCGUGGACAGCAGAUUGUGGGACUUCUCAGCCUCCAUAACCGCCUGAGCCAAUUUCUUAAAAUAAAUCUUCUUUCUCUGUC